UACGUAGGGGGCAAGCGUUGUCCGGAAUCAUUGGGCGUAAAGCGCGCGUAGGCGGCCCGGUAAGUCCGCUGUAAAAGUCCAGGGCUCAACCCUGGAAAGCCGGUGGAUACUGUCGGGCUCGAGUCCGGAAGAGGCGAGUGGAAUUCCUGGUGUAGCGGUGGAAUGCGCAGAUAUCGGGAAGAACACCCAUGGCGAAGGCAGCUCUCUGGGACGGUACUGACGCUGAGACGCGAAAGCGUGGGGAGCGAACAGG
This 253-nucleotide ribosomal RNA is filed under the name uncultured bacterium. RNAcentral describes it as "partial 16S ribosomal RNA". It matches the Rfam family "Bacterial small subunit ribosomal RNA", at positions 524 to 776 of the family's 1533-position model. The record is from RNAcentral.